Long non-coding RNA from Gorilla gorilla gorilla (western lowland gorilla), 687 nucleotides. RefSeq lists it as uncharacterized. The record is from RefSeq and is a predicted model, not a curated record. Lineage: Eukaryota; Metazoa; Chordata; Mammalia; Primates; Hominidae. The transcript has 5 exons.
CACGUGCAGCCCCAACAUGUGCCACACCAAACCAGGUGGCCUUUAUAGUAUUGUGAUCCUGCUCCAAGAUGAAUUUCUCCCGCAGGAAAAUAUUUUGGGAGAAAUCCUGAUGAGUUAAGCCCCCCUCUAUACCACCCAUUUUUACAUUUCAUUUAAAAAUUAUAUGAAAAUAUGACGUGAACUAUUAGUUAUGGAGGAUAUAAAGUUGGAUGUUGCUUGUAUUAACAAGAAAAACUAUGCACCUCAUUGUGUUCUCCAAGGGAGCAUAAAACAAGGAGAGGAAGUGAGAAGAAAGAAACUGAAAGAGUAAAUGCUGCUUAAAGAAGCCACACUCCCUUGCCUUCAGUCUCAUUUAGCUUCCACCUAGCCUAGGGGAUAAAACUGCUGCUGUGGAUACCCAAGAGACCCUGGCUAGGGUUAUAAUAUUCAAACCAAAUACAGGCAGCAGAUACUUUAACUCCAGGUCAGGAUUCUUUAACAACUGACAUCUUGAGGCAACACUGGUUCUCUGAGAAAGUGAAAGUUUUUGCUGGCUGGAUCAGGAAAAGGAAGUGAUGCCUGGAAAUGGAGUAGCCAUCUAAGGGAUGAUAUCAAAAGCCACAUGCUGAGCAUUGUGAAGGGAAGAGGUUGAAGGAGCAGCAAGCAGUUGCACUAGUCCUGGACUUGUGAGUUACGGAUUUCUUGUGA